RNAcentral lists this ribosomal RNA (253 nucleotides) under uncultured bacterium. RNAcentral's name for it is "partial 16S ribosomal RNA". It matches the Rfam family "Bacterial small subunit ribosomal RNA", at positions 524 to 776 of the family's 1533-position model. The record is from RNAcentral.
UACGUAGGGUGCAAGCGUUGUCCGGAAUUAUUGGGCGUAAAGAGCUCGUAGGCGGUCUGUCGCGUCUGCUGUGAAAAUCCAGGGCUCAACCCUGGACCUGCAGUGGGUACGGGCAGGCUAGAGUGCGGUAGGGGAGAUCGGAAUUCCUGGUGUAGCGGUGAAAUGCGCAGAUAUCAGGAGGAACACCGGUGGCGAAGGCGGGUCUCUGGGCCGAUACUGACGCUGAGGAGCGAAAGCGUGGGGAGCAAACAGG